RNAcentral lists this ribosomal RNA (208 nucleotides) under uncultured bacterium. RNAcentral's name for it is "partial 16S ribosomal RNA". It matches the Rfam family "Bacterial small subunit ribosomal RNA", at positions 568 to 774 of the family's 1533-position model. The record is from RNAcentral.
UGUGUAGGCGGUUGUUUAAGUUUGGUGUGAAAUCUCCCGGCUCAACUGGGAGGGUGCGCCGAAUACUGAAUGACUUCGAGUGCGGGAGAGGAGAGUGGAAUUCCUGGUGUAGCGGUGAAAUGCGUAGAUAUCAGGAGGAACACCGGUGGUGUAGGCGGCUCUCUGGACCGUAACUGACGCUGAGACACGAAAGCGUGGGUAGCAAACA